Non-coding RNA from Hordeum vulgare subsp. vulgare (domesticated barley), 100 nucleotides. The record is from Rfam. Lineage: Eukaryota; Viridiplantae; Streptophyta; Magnoliopsida; Poales; Poaceae.
AUGGACGUGAGGAUCCUUUCCCCAAAUGAUCGACUAUGGUUAUUACUGUGCGCAAAUGUAAUCCUUUAUCAAAGAAUUCCAAGCCAGAAAUCUGAUCCAU